Molecule: long non-coding RNA, 1054 nt
Filed under: Ananas comosus (pineapple)
Lineage: Eukaryota; Viridiplantae; Streptophyta; Magnoliopsida; Poales; Bromeliaceae
Description: long non-coding RNA (ACOM_LNC025649)
Source: RNAcentral
CCACCUAUUCGCUCGGUGCGUGUUUUCCAGAUUUCUUAUCGUCAUGGCAUUGAAAAAUGUACAAACAAGAGACUUGGGUGAUGACGUGACUAUCGUUUGGGAUAGAUGGAUAAGUAGAAAGGACUCGCCAUCCCCUCUUUCAGGACCAACCGGUUUAAUAGCUUGUUGGUGGAUCAUCUGGGAAGUUAGGAACCGUACAAUCUUCAGAUCGGUCAAUCCAGACCCAUUGCUGGGUAUAAAUAAGAUUAAACUGUUGACGGACCAAUGGAAGCAUUAUCUAUUAUUAAAUUUGCACUACUGUAAUCGCUAGGUUUUUUUUUUCCGCUUUCGAGGCCCAUAUUACCUCACCUCUAUAGCUUAGUUCACUCUUUCAAUGAAUGAAGCAGGUAGCGUACUACUUAUUCCUCACCAAAAAAAAAAACUAAAGUGUGCAAAUGCAUAGUCACGUCAUCUUUGUAAUUUUGUGUAGUGCGGGGUCAUAUCGAUUCUAUAAUAAUGAUAAUUGUAUAGUCAAGUCUAAUUAUUAUGUCAUAUAUAUAGUUAAUUUUAUAUCAUAUCUAAUGUGUAGUCAUUUCACUUUUAUUUAUAUAUAAUGUAUAGUCAUAUUAUUUUAUAUCAUAUUGAUUUUCAGUCAUAUCAAAUAUUAUGUUAAGUAUGUAGUCAUAUUAUCUAAAGGUGUCCGUGGAACGGAUCGGGUCUGGGUAAUUAAUAUACUGUACCCAUACCCUAAAAAGAAAUGGUUAGAAAAAAAUAUAUAUACCCUACCCAUUUAACUUCGGGUCGGGUCCGGAUCUAGAUACUUAAGUUACUAAUAUACCCAUCGGGUCUAUUUUUACGGGUCUGGAUAGUAACUACCCGUAUACUAUCGGUUCAAGACCGGAUAUGGAUCGAGUCUGGAUCGGGUACGAAUACCUGUAUAAACAUAUUUUUUAUAGACUUUAUUAAAUAGUUUAUGGACAAACUAUAAAGCCCUCCACAAAAAACUCGUGUUCUAAUAAAUUGUACCAUCCAAUGAAAUUCAUUCAAAAGAAAUAAAAUAAAAUAUCCCAAUACA